GGGGCUAAAAAUUUAAUUUAACCAUCCAAUUGAUUGGCUGGAGGUGUCUAUAGCUCCGUAUUAUUAAAUAAAAUAUGUAAAAAAAAUUUAAUUGAAAGAGUGUAUCGAAAGAUAUACCUCCGUACUGAAAUUUAAGUUUGAAAAGAUCUAGAAGGUCAAAGUUCAGUCUAACCAUCCAAACAAUUGGCUGAGGGUAUCUAUAGCUCUGUAUUAUUGAAUGGAACAUAUAAAAAUAAUCUAUUCGAGAAUUUCAAUGGUAUA
RNAcentral lists this long non-coding RNA (261 nucleotides) under Elaeis guineensis (African oil palm). RNAcentral's name for it is "long non-coding RNA (EGUI_LNC001110)". The record is from RNAcentral. Lineage: Eukaryota; Viridiplantae; Streptophyta; Magnoliopsida; Arecales; Arecaceae.